UGGGGAAUUUUGCGCAAUGGGGGAAACCUGACGCAGCAACGCCGCGUGGAGGAUGAAGUCCCUUGGGACGUAAACUCCUUUCGAUCGAGACGCGGGGGUGAACAAUCUCCGGGGUUGACGGUACCGAGAGAAGAAGCCCCGGCUAACUCC
This 150-nucleotide ribosomal RNA is filed under the name uncultured bacterium. Its description in RNAcentral is "partial 16S ribosomal RNA". It matches the Rfam family "Bacterial small subunit ribosomal RNA", at positions 355 to 504 of the family's 1533-position model. The record is from RNAcentral.